AGGUCUGUAGCUCAGUGGCAGAGCAUCUGCUCUGCAUGCAGAAGGUCCCGGGUUCAAAUCCCCAGGCAUCUCUAGGUCCU
Podarcis lilfordi (Lilford's wall lizard) is the source of this 80-nucleotide non-coding RNA. Lineage: Eukaryota; Metazoa; Chordata; Lepidosauria; Squamata; Lacertidae. The record is from the annotation of a GenBank genome assembly.